RNAcentral lists this transfer RNA (74 nucleotides) under Cellulophaga phage phi19:1. It matches the Rfam family "tRNA". From Rfam's summary of the family: Transfer RNA (tRNA) molecules are approximately 80 nucleotides in length. Their secondary structure includes four short double-helical elements and three loops (D, anti-codon, and T loops). Lineage: Duplodnaviria; Heunggongvirae; Uroviricota; Caudoviricetes; Assiduviridae. The record is from Rfam by way of RNAcentral.
CUAAGUGCGAUCCAUUGGUGUGGUUACCCGACUUGGAAUCGGGAUUAUUGUAGGUUCGAGUCCUAUCACUUAGA